UCCUUCUACAAGAGCUGCUUAUUUUCAGUCUCCUAGCUAAACAAGUUACUCUAACACAAACCUUUUAAGAGAAUCCUCAUCCAGCUUUGGCUUCUCUAUCCCAGCAACUUUUCCAUCUUCCUUUCACCAUAAGCCCUAUUGCUUUGCUUCCAGCUCCCUAGCUAAUAACACUAUCAGAACAAAAGAAAGAAUUCAGCUAGCACCUUCAGCACUCAAUAUAUCUCAUCUAGUGUAACCAGAAAUACAAGCCACCUGUGAGCUGAGGCUCCCACAUUACACAAACCUGCCAGGUUGAUGUAGUUUGUGCUAAUUAGUAAAAUACUUAAGCUUUCACUUCUCCAUUGCAAGGCUGUAUCUUGUUAUGUAUGAAGUGGGGGGAAGAGAAUGAUUUCACACAGAAACCGCUCUCUUUGUUCUAGGUUUUUGGCAGGAGGUGUUCAGGGCCUCUGGAGGGCCUGGUUCCCUGAGCCAGAAAAUCAGAGUCCUGUGGACAGUGCUGCUUUCUUCAUCAGGAUGCUUUAUAAAUCCUAAGUUCUUUCCAAAGCUUCAUUAAUAGAGAAACCAACUCUGUCCUUGAAAGACUGUUUUGUGGAAGUCAAAUGAUCCCCAUUCCUCCCAUUCACCAGAAGUGGGAUUCUGACCCUACACGGAGACCAGCACAGGCAGCUCUUCAUAGCCAUGCAGGGAUUUUGCUGGACAUAAUUCCUUGCCCACUGAUGUACACCACGUACCUGCCUAAGCACAACUUUAGCUGCAGAAGAGAGAUGAAAUAACAGAUACAAGACUGGAG
Molecule: long non-coding RNA, 790 nt
Filed under: Anser brachyrhynchus (Pink-footed goose)
Lineage: Eukaryota; Metazoa; Chordata; Aves; Anseriformes; Anatidae
Description: lncRNA (ENSABRG00000021560.1)
Source: RNAcentral